GGCGAAUGGGUGCGUAACACGUAGAUACCUGCCUACCAGUGGGGAAUAACGCCGCGAAAGCGGUGCUAAUACCGCAUGUGACCGCCUACGGGCGGGGAAAGCUGGGCAACCGGCGCUGGCAGAGGGGUCUGCGGCCCAUCAGCUAGAUGGUGAGGUAAUGGCUCACCAUGGCGACGACGGGUAGGGGGCCUGAGAGGGUGGUCCCCCACACUGGCACUGACACACGGGCCAGACUCCUACGGGAGGCAGCAGUGAGGAAUAUUGCCCAAUGGACGCAAGUCUGAGGCAGCAACGCCGCGUGGAGGACGAAGGCUUUCGGGUCGUAAACUCCUUUUGCACGGGAAGAGCAAGGACGGUACCGUGCGAAUCAGUCACGGCUAACUACGUGCCAGCAGCCGCGGUAAAACGUAGGUGGCAAGCGUUAUCCGGAUUUACUGGGCGUAAAGCGCUCGCAGGCGGCCUGACAGGUCGGUUGUGAAAUCUCCUGGCUCAACUGGGAGGGUGCGACCGAAACCGUGAGGCUUGAGGACCGGAGAGGGACAUGGAAUUCCUGGCGUAGUGGUAAAAUGCGUUGAACUCAGGAGGAACACCCGUGGCGAAAGCGGUGUCCUGGCCGGUGCCUGACGCUGAGGAGCGAAAGCGUGGGGAGCGAACGGGAUUAGAUACCCCGGUAGUCC
This 677-nucleotide ribosomal RNA is filed under the name uncultured bacterium. RNAcentral describes it as "bacterial SSU rRNA". It matches the Rfam family "Bacterial small subunit ribosomal RNA", at positions 97 to 796 of the family's 1533-position model. The record is from RNAcentral.